UGUGAUGUCUAAGUAAUUAUCUUAGGCCGCAAUCCUGUCACCUUAAGGUCGAUCGGUACCUCAGAUUUUUUUAUUAAUUUUAUAAUUAAUUCUUUAAUUUCAGUUCCUAAACUUGUCUAGGUCACACCCAACAAGGGUUUCUCCUGGGCCAUUAGCUCAGGUGGUUAGAGCGCACCCCUGAUAAGGGUGAGGUCCCUGGUUCAAGUCCAGGAUGGCCCAUUCGUUGUUGGGGGUAUAGCUCAGUUGGUAGAGCGCCUGCUUUGCAAGCAGGAUGUCAGCGGUUCGAGUCCGCUUACCUCCACUGAAACCUACCCUGGUAACUAAAUUCCGGAGAAAAAUUGAAGAUGUGACUUAGAAUUGUCUAUUUGAAAAGAACCUAGCUUCUUAUCAUCAUUUUAGUUGAUAAUAUGCUGGGCUCACAUGGAUUAUUCCAUGAGAAUUCAGUAGAACCUUGAAAACUGCAUAGAUUAGAAAGAAUAAAGCAUCUCAUGGAUGCAUAAUUCUAUAUAAAAAUUUAGCUUUAAAACUAAAUUAAAAAUAUAUAGAAUUCAUGUUUAAUUUCUUGAGUAAUAGCCGAGCACAAUUUGA
Molecule: transfer RNA, 588 nt
Filed under: uncultured Prochlorococcus sp.
Lineage: Bacteria; Bacillati; Cyanobacteriota; Cyanophyceae; Synechococcales; Prochlorococcaceae
Description: partial 16S-23S ribosomal RNA intergenic spacer
Rfam family: tRNA (bases 229-301)
Source: RNAcentral